GUUAGACGCAGACUGACUAGGUUAGACGCAGACUGACUAGGUUAGACGCAGACUGACUAGGUUAGACGCAGACUGACUAGGUUAGACGCAGACUGACUAGGUUAGACGCUGAUCUAUCAGACUGACUAGGUUAGACACAGACUGACUAUUGUCUUCUCUCCCCUCCCCUGUCUAUAUACUAGUUGUCUUUCUCCUCUCCCCUGUCUAUAUACUAGUUGUCUUUCUCCUCUCCCCUGUCUAUAUACUAGUUGUCUUUCUCCUCUCCCCUGUCUAUAUACUAGUUGUCUUUCUCCCCUCCCCUGUCUAUAUACUAGUUGUCUUUCUCCCCUCCCCUGUCUAUAUACUAGUUGUCUUUCUCCCCUCCCCUGUCUAUAUACUAGUUGUCUUUCUCCCCUCCCCUGUCUAUAUACUAGUUGUCUUUCUCCCCUGUCUAUAUACUAGUUGUCUUUCUCCUCUCCCCUGUCUAUAUACUAGUUGUCUUUCUCCUCUCCCCUGUCUAUAUACUAGUUGUCUUUCUCCUCUCCCCUGUCUAUAUACUAGUUGUCUUUCUCCCCUCCCCUGUCUAUAUACUAGUUG
Molecule: long non-coding RNA, 576 nt
Filed under: Salmo salar (Atlantic salmon)
Lineage: Eukaryota; Metazoa; Chordata; Actinopteri; Salmoniformes; Salmonidae
Description: lncRNA (ENSSSAG00000120384.1)
Source: RNAcentral